Molecule: small nuclear RNA, 107 nt
Filed under: Notamacropus eugenii (tammar wallaby)
Lineage: Eukaryota; Metazoa; Chordata; Mammalia; Diprotodontia; Macropodidae
Source: RNAcentral
GUGCUUGCUUUGGCAGCACAUAUACUAAAAUUGGAACGAUACAGAGAAGAUUAGCAUGGCCCAUGCACAAGGAUGACAUGCAAAUUCGUGAAGCAUUCCAUAUUUUU